RNAcentral lists this ribosomal RNA (314 nucleotides) under uncultured bacterium. Its description in RNAcentral is "partial 16S ribosomal RNA". It matches the Rfam family "Bacterial small subunit ribosomal RNA", at positions 499 to 807 of the family's 1533-position model. The record is from RNAcentral.
UUAUAAGAGACAGCAGCAGCCGCGGUAAUACGAAGGGUGCAAGCGUUAAUCGGAAUUACUGGGCGUAAAGCGUGCGUAGGCGGUUUGUUAAGUCUGUUGUGAAAUCCCCGGGCUCAACCUGGGAAUGGCAAUGGAUACUGGCAAGCUAGAGUGUGUCAGAGGAUGGUGGAAUUCCCGGUGUAGCGGUGAAAUGCGUAGAGAUCGGGAGGAACAUCAGUGGCGAAGGCGGCCAUCUGGGACAACACUGACGCUGAGGCACGAAAGCGUGGGGAGCAAACAGGAUUAGAUACCCCCGUAGUCCCUGUCUCUUAUAC